RNAcentral lists this ribosomal RNA (499 nucleotides) under Anoxybacillus flavithermus. RNAcentral describes it as "bacterial SSU rRNA". It matches the Rfam family "Bacterial small subunit ribosomal RNA", at positions 78 to 561 of the family's 1533-position model. The record is from RNAcentral. Lineage: Bacteria; Bacillati; Bacillota; Bacilli; Caryophanales; Anoxybacillaceae.
GCUUGCUUCUAUGUGGUUAGCGGGGGACGGGUGAGUAACACGUGGGCAACCUGCCCUGUAGACGGGGAUAACACCGAGAAAUCGGUGCUAAUACCGGAUAACACGGAAUGUCGCAUGACGUUUCGUUGAAAGGCGGCGCAAGCUGUCGCUACAGGAUGGGCCCGCGGCGCAUUAGCUAGUUGGUGAGGUAACGGCUCACCAAGGCGACGAUGCGUAGCCGACCUGAGAGGGUGAUCGGCCACACUGGGACUGAGACACGGCCCAGACUCCUACGGGAGGCAGCAGUAGGGAAUCUUCCGCAAUGGACGAAAGUCUGACGGAGCAACGCCGCGUGAGCGAAGAAGGCCUUCGGGUCGUAAAGCUCUGUUGUUAGGGAAGAACAAGUAGCGCAGUAACUGGCGUUACUUUGACGGUACCUAACGAGGAAGCCACGGCUAACUACGUGCCAGCAGCCGCGGUAAUACGUAGGUGGCAAGCGUUGUCCGGAAUUAUUGGGCGU